GGUUUGUAUGGUUAUAGAGAGAGGUUUUUUGUUUCAUGGUUUAUAUGGUUAUAGAGAGAGGUUUGUAUGGUUAUAGAGGUUUUUUGUUUCAUGGUUAUAGGUUUUCUGUUUCAUGGUUUAUAUGGUUAUAGAGAGAGGUUUUCUGUUUCAUGGUUUGUAUGGUUAUAGAGAGAGGUUUUCUGUUUCAUGGUUUAUAUGGUUAUAGAGAGAGAUUUUUCUGUUUCAUGGUUUGUAUGGUUAUAGAGAGAGGUUUGUAUGGUUAUAGAGAGAGGUUUUCUGUUUCAUGGUUUGUAUGGUUAUAGAGAGAGGUUUGUAUGGUUAUAGAGGUUUUUUGUUUCAUGGUUUGUAUGGUUAUAGAGAGAGGUUUUCUGUUUCAUGGUUUGUAUGGUUAUAGAGAGAGGUUUUCUGUUUCAUGGUUUGUAUGGUUAUAGAGAGAGGUUUUCUGUUUCAUGGUUUGUAUGGUUAUAGAGAGGUUUUUUGUUUCAUGGUUUAUAUGGUUAUAGAGAGGUUUUCUGUUUCAUGGUUUGUAUGGUUAUAGGGUGAGGUUUGUAUGGUUAUAGAGAGAGGUGUUUAUGGUUAUAGAGAGAGGUUUUCUGUUUCAUGGUUUGUAUGGUUAUAGAGAGAGGUUUUCUGUUUCAUGGUUUGUAUGGUUAUAGAGAGAGGUUUGUAUGGUUAUAGAGAGAGGUUUUCUGUUUCAUGGUUUAUAUGGUUAUAGAGAGAGAUUUUUCUGUUUCAUGGUUUAUAUGGUUAUAGAGAGAGGUUUGUAUGGUUAUAGAGAGAGGUUUUCUGUUUCAUGGUUUGUAUGGUUAUAGAGAGAGGUUUGUAUGGUUAUAGAGAGAGGUUUUCUGUUUCAUGGUUUAUAUGGUUAUAGAGAGAGAUUUUUCUGUUUCAUGGU
Molecule: long non-coding RNA, 895 nt
Organism: Oncorhynchus keta (chum salmon)
Lineage: Eukaryota; Metazoa; Chordata; Actinopteri; Salmoniformes; Salmonidae
Exons: 4
Source: RefSeq, a predicted model, not a curated record